GGUACCGUGAGAAUAAGCCACGGCUAACUCUGUGCCAGCAGCCGCGGUAAGACAGAGGUGGCAAGCGUUGUUCGGAAUUACUGGGCGUAAAGAGUCUGUAGGUGGUUUGUCAAGUCUUUGGUGAAAGGCCGUAGCUUAACUAUGGGAAUGCCAAAGAGACUGGCAGGCUGGAGGCUGGGAGAGGGAAGCGGAAUUUUCUGGUGUAGCGGUGAAAUGCGUAGAUAUCAGAAGGAAGGCCGGUGGCGAAGGCGGCUUCCUGGAACAGUCCUGACACUGAGAGACGAAAGCGUGGGGAGCAAAC
Molecule: ribosomal RNA, 301 nt
Filed under: uncultured bacterium
Lineage: Bacteria
Description: bacterial SSU rRNA
Rfam family: Bacterial small subunit ribosomal RNA
Source: RNAcentral